Molecule: long non-coding RNA, 416 nt
Organism: Sinocyclocheilus rhinocerous
Lineage: Eukaryota; Metazoa; Chordata; Actinopteri; Cypriniformes; Cyprinidae
Exons: 3
Source: RefSeq, a predicted model, not a curated record
CGCACGAGAGAGUGUGCGUCAGAGGGGAACUGAGAGCGCGCCGAUAGAAGCAGCAGUUGCAAGUGAGGAGAAAAUAGUUGUUAAAAAAUUGUUAAACGGAUAUAAUCCAGGCUGGUUAUUAACUCGUGGACCUGUGGUGGUUUCAGUUGUGUGACUGCACAGAGUGGAUGACUUAAUUUAGUGUUUAUAUUAGUGUUUUGUUGCUGCACAUGAGAGAUCUCCGGUGGGGGAGGGCAUUCAGGCCUACUUCAACGGAGAUUGAGCAGGGGAGAACAAGGAUGUGAGAUCGCACAUGUGCCAGUUACCACGUGAUUGAUAAUCCAGAGGCUCAUAUAAGAGCACAUAUAGGCCACUGCCGUUGUUUUGCACACCUGUAUUGGUUCUUUAACAUUGGUUGCAUUAUUUCAAGUCAAAUC